GAUGAACGCUGGCGGCGUGCCUAAUACAUGCAAGUCGAGCGAACGGAUGAGAAGCUUGCUUCUCUGAUGUUAGCGGCGGACGGGUGUGUAACACGUGUAUAACCUACCUAUAAGACUGGGAUAACUUCGGGAAACCGGCUCUAAUACCGUAUAAUCUUUUGCACCGCAUGGUUCAAUAGUGAAAGACGGUCUUUCUGUCACUUCUCGAUGGUUCCGCGCUGCAUUAGCUAGUUGUUAAGGUAACGGCUUACCAAGGCAACGAUGCAUAGCCGACCUGAGAGAGUGAUAGGCGACACGGGAACUGAGACAGGGACAAGACUACUAAGGGAGGCAGCAGUAGGGAAUCUGCAGCAAUGGGCGAAAGCAUGACGGAGCAACGGCGAGUGAGUGAUGAAGGUCUUCGGAUCGUAAAAAUCUGUUAUUAGGGAAGAACAUAUGUGUAAGUAAAUGUGCACAGAUUGACGGUACCUAAUAAGAAAGCAACGGCUAACUACGUG
Molecule: ribosomal RNA, 497 nt
Filed under: uncultured bacterium
Lineage: Bacteria
Description: partial 16S ribosomal RNA
Rfam family: Bacterial small subunit ribosomal RNA
Source: RNAcentral